This 478-nucleotide ribosomal RNA is filed under the name uncultured bacterium. Its description in RNAcentral is "partial 16S ribosomal RNA". It matches the Rfam family "Bacterial small subunit ribosomal RNA", at positions 28 to 523 of the family's 1533-position model. The record is from RNAcentral.
GACGAACGCUGGCGGCGUGCUUAACACAUGCAAGUCGAACGGUAAGGCCCUUCGGGGUACACGAGUGGCGAACGGGUGAGUAACACGUGGGUGAUCUGCCCUGCACUUCGGGAUAAGCCUGGGAAACUGGGUCUAAUACCGGAUAGGACCACUGCCUGCAUGGGUGGUGGUGGAAAGCUUUUGCGGUGUGGGAUGGGCCCGCGGCCUAUCAGCUUGUUGGUGGGGUGAUGGCCUACCAAGGCGACGACGGGUAGCCGGCCUGAGAGGGUGACCGGCCAAACUGGGACUGAGGUACGGCCCAGACGCCUACGGGAGGCAGCAGUGGGGAAUAUUGCACAAUGGGCGCAAGCCUGAUGCAGCGACGCCGCGUGAGGGAUGACGGCCUUCGGGUUGUAAACCUCUUUCAGCACCGACGAAGCGCAAGUGACGGUAGGUGCAGAAGAAGGACCGGCCAACUACGUGCCAGCAGCCGCCGUAA